UUCCCUACAUUUUCGAAUUGAAAAUAAAAAAUAAAAAAUAAAAAAUAGGGAUAGUUCGAGUUUACCUGGGAUGGCGGUUUCGUCAUCCGAAUGGAGAGCGACACCGCUUCACGGCUUCGAGUGGUGACCAUGGGCUAUGAAGGGGUAGAUCGGGAGAUUUGUUGGAGUUUAUGAAAAGGAAAGUGAGCUCUUUAUUUUAUUUGGGUGUUACCUGGUGAGAUUUGGGAGCGAUCGGAGUGAAGAGUUGUUGUCGAGUGGUGGCCGGCGUAGCAGCAAAGGUGAACGGCGAUUAAGUAGAGCUCGUGGUGUUUCCCGAUAAUGCCGCCGCAUGUCAGAUAAGGAAUGAGUUAGAGAAUGAAAUUCGAAGGCUGAGUUUAGGGUUAGAUGUCAGAUAACAAAAGAAAAUUUCUUAGUUAAGGAAACACGUUUGUUUUCAAUUGAGGAGUUAAUCACUGCAUAGGUCAUCCUAAGAUUUCAAUAUUUUACAAUUUGGUCAUGAGUUUGCAUUUUUGUUUAUCUAUUUCCGAAUUAUUGUCCUAAUAGCUAGGGGUGUGCAAAAAAACCUAAUUCGACCGAUUCGAUCUGUUGAUAUGAUGAUCCGAUCCGAAAAUUCGGAUAUCCGAUCCGUUUUUCAAUUUUUGGAUAGUUUGGAUCGGGUAUCCAAUUUUUUUUUCGGAUUAUCGGAUCGGAUACGGAUCGAAAAUAUAUCAAUUUCGGAUUAUCUGAAAACCCGAAUUUUUGUUGUUGCUAUUUUCUAUAAUUCGAAACAGAAGUCACUGAGAGAAGUGCUUCGAUUACCAAGUGAAGAAGAAGACCGAGGAGAGAGUGAGAAGAAAAUGAAAGAAAUCUUAGCCCGAUAUUACGGAGUGAAUUGGCAAAUCUUGAUAAAGAUGCUGAUAGUCGAAAAUCAACAAUGAAUGCACUGAAAUCAUAUGUGAGAGACUAGGAUUCGAAGGCGAUACCGGUCUUCCUUGCUCAAGUUUCGGAGACAAAAGAAACCGGGUUAGUGUCGGGCGAAUACACUAUUUCACUAUAUAAAUUCUUGCUCGUGUUCAUGGUGUGAAGAUUGCUCCUCAAAUUGAUAGUAUAAUGUCCACCAUUAUCAAGACAUUAGCUUCGAGUGCAGGCUCUUUUCCUCUACAUCAAGCCUUUUCGAAGGUGGUUCCUACAAUUGCAAGAUAUGGAAUUGAUCCAACCACUCCGGAGGAUAAGAAGAGGCAUAUCAUCCACUCACUUUGUAAGCCUCUGUCGGAUCAGAUACAAUACUAGUUAUUUGC
Molecule: long non-coding RNA, 1277 nt
Organism: Hibiscus syriacus
Lineage: Eukaryota; Viridiplantae; Streptophyta; Magnoliopsida; Malvales; Malvaceae
Exons: 2
Source: RefSeq, a predicted model, not a curated record